Molecule: transfer RNA, 71 nt
Filed under: Loxodonta africana (African savanna elephant)
Lineage: Eukaryota; Metazoa; Chordata; Mammalia; Proboscidea; Elephantidae
Rfam family: tRNA
About the family: Transfer RNA (tRNA) molecules are approximately 80 nucleotides in length. Their secondary structure includes four short double-helical elements and three loops (D, anti-codon, and T loops).
Source: Rfam by way of RNAcentral
GGAGUGGUGGUUCAGUGGUAGAAUUCUCACCUUCCAUGUGGAAGACCCGGGUUCAACUCCCAGCCAAUCCA